GUCUUACCAGACAUGGUUAGAUCUGGAUGCAUCUGUCUAAUACUGUCUGGUAAUGCCGU
Molecule: microRNA precursor, 59 nt
Filed under: Mus musculus (house mouse)
Lineage: Eukaryota; Metazoa; Chordata; Mammalia; Rodentia; Muridae
Description: Mmu-Mir-8-P3a_pre stem-loop
Source: RNAcentral